GUGAAAUUGUAGUAUCGGUGAAGAUGCCGAUUACCCGCGAUGGGACGAAAAGACCCCGUGAACCUUUACUGCAGCUUAACGUUGUGACCGGGCAGCGGAUGUGUAGGAUAGGCCGGAGGCUAUGAAGCGGGCACGCCAGUGCUUGUGGAGCCGCCGUUGAAAUACGGCCCUUCCUCUGUCUGGUCCCUAACCCGCGAUGCGGGGACCGCGUUUGGCGGGCAGUUUGACUGGGGUGGUCGCCUCCAAAAGCGUAACGGAGGCUUCUAAAGGUGCCCUCAGGCCGAUUGGUAACCGGCCGCAGAGUGUAAUGGCAAAAGGG
This 319-nucleotide ribosomal RNA is filed under the name gut metagenome. RNAcentral describes it as "bacterial LSU rRNA". It matches the Rfam family "Bacterial large subunit ribosomal RNA", at positions 2036 to 2365 of the family's 2925-position model. The record is from RNAcentral.